GACGAACCGAGCGAACGUUGUUCGGAAUCACUGGGCUUAAAGGGCGCGUAGGCGGGUGCUCAAGUCUGUGGUGAAAUCCUCCGGCUCAACCGGAGAACUGCCAUGGAUACUGGGUGUCUCGAGGGUGGUAGGGGUAUGCGGAACUAUCGGUGGAGCGGUGAAAUGCGUUGAUAUCGAUAGGAACUCCGGUGGCGAAGGCGGCAUACUGGACCACCACUGACGCUGAUGCGCGAAAGCCAGGGGAGCAAACGGG
This 253-nucleotide ribosomal RNA is filed under the name uncultured bacterium. RNAcentral's name for it is "partial 16S ribosomal RNA". It matches the Rfam family "Bacterial small subunit ribosomal RNA", at positions 524 to 776 of the family's 1533-position model. The record is from RNAcentral.